GCGGCAGUGGCGGAAUUGGCAGACGCCUCAGACUUAAAAUCUGAUACCUUCUGGGUGUGCGGGUUCGAGCCCCGCCUGCCGUACCA
Molecule: transfer RNA, 86 nt
Filed under: Clostridia bacterium
Lineage: Bacteria; Bacillati; Bacillota; Clostridia
Description: tRNA-Leu
Rfam family: tRNA
About the family: Transfer RNA (tRNA) molecules are approximately 80 nucleotides in length. Their secondary structure includes four short double-helical elements and three loops (D, anti-codon, and T loops). Further hydrogen bonds mediate the characteristic L-shaped molecular structure. tRNAs have two regions of fundamental functional importance: the anti-codon, which is responsible for specific mRNA codon recognition, and the 3' end, to which the tRNAs corresponding amino acid is attached (by aminoacyl-tRNA synthetases). tRNAs cope with the degeneracy of the genetic code in two manners: having more than one tRNA (with a specific anti-codon) for a particular amino acid; and 'wobble' base-pairing, i.e. permitting non-standard base-pairing at the 3rd anti-codon position.
Source: RNAcentral